AGAUAUCUGGGCAUGUGGUAUCAUGCUGUUUGCCAUGGUAUUUGAUGAGAUGCUAUUCGAAACUGCGCAUCACAUCGCGGACAAAAAUCAGCGUUUCUCUUGGCUCUAUCAAGAUCCUGUUAACGGUUUG
This 130-nucleotide non-coding RNA is filed under the name uncultured Stichotrichia. Lineage: Eukaryota; Ciliophora; Spirotrichea. The record is from RNAcentral.